GAUGAACGCUGGCGGCGUGCCUAAUACAUGCAAGUCGAGCGAACAGACGAGGAGCUUGCUCCUCUGACGUUAGCGGCGGACGGGUGAGUAACACGUGGAUAACCUACCUAUAAGACUGGGAUAACUUCGGGAAACCGGAGCUAAUACCGGAUAAUAUAUUGAACCGCAUGGUUCAAUAGUGAAAGACGGUUUUGCUGUCACUUAUAGAUGGAUCCGCGCCGCAUUAGCUAGUUGGUAAGGUAACGGCUUACCAAGGCAACGAUGCGUAGCCGACCUGAGAGGGUGAUCGGCCACACUGGAACUGAGACACGGUCCAGACUCCUACGGGAGGCAGCAGUAGGGAAUCUGCCGCAAUGGGCGAAAGCCUGACGGAGCAACGCCGCGUGAGUGAUGAAGGUCUUCGGAUCGUAAAACUCUGUUAUUAGGGAAGAACAAAUGUGUAAGUAACUAUGCACGUCUUGACGGUACCUAAACAGAAAGCCACGGCUAACUACGUG
RNAcentral lists this ribosomal RNA (497 nucleotides) under uncultured bacterium. RNAcentral describes it as "partial 16S ribosomal RNA". It matches the Rfam family "Bacterial small subunit ribosomal RNA", at positions 28 to 507 of the family's 1533-position model. The record is from RNAcentral.